UACGUAGGGUGCAAGCGUUUAAUCGGAAUUACUGGGCGUAAAGCGUGCGCAGGCGGUUCGCUAAGACAGAUGUGAAAUCCCCGGGCUUAACCUGGGAACUGCAUUUGUGACUGGCGGGCUAGAGUAUGGCAGAGGGGGGGUAGAAUUCCACGUGUAGCAGUGAAAUGCGUAGAGAUGUGGAGGAAUACCGAUGGCGAAGGCAGCCCCCUGGGCCAAUACUGACGCUCAUGCACGAAAGCGUGGGGAGCAAACAGG
RNAcentral lists this ribosomal RNA (255 nucleotides) under uncultured bacterium. RNAcentral's name for it is "partial 16S ribosomal RNA". It matches the Rfam family "Bacterial small subunit ribosomal RNA", at positions 524 to 776 of the family's 1533-position model. The record is from RNAcentral.